This 253-nucleotide ribosomal RNA is filed under the name uncultured bacterium. RNAcentral's name for it is "partial 16S ribosomal RNA". It matches the Rfam family "Bacterial small subunit ribosomal RNA", at positions 524 to 776 of the family's 1533-position model. The record is from RNAcentral.
UACGAAGGGGGCUAGCGUUGCUCGGAAUGACUGGGCGUAAAGGGCGCGUAGGCGGAUUGUACAGUCAGGCGUGAAAUUCCCGGGCUCAACCUGGGGGCUGCGCUUGAGACGUGCGAUCUUGAGUGGGGAAGAGGGUCGUGGAAUUCCCAGUGUAGAGGUGAAAUUCGUAGAUAUUGGGAAGAACACCGGUGGCGAAGGCGGCGACCUGGUCCUUGACUGACGCUCAUGCACGACAGCGUGGGGAUCAAACAGG